Molecule: long non-coding RNA, 3438 nt
Filed under: Sarcophilus harrisii (Tasmanian devil)
Lineage: Eukaryota; Metazoa; Chordata; Mammalia; Dasyuromorphia; Dasyuridae
Description: lncRNA (ENSSHAG00000028127.1)
Source: RNAcentral
AUCUUCUCUUUUGUCUUUAUCUUCAUUUCCCCAUUGCUCCCCAUUCCACCCCAAGAUAGCCAACUGGACCAAGAGGGAGGUCAGGAAAUAAAACGUGGUCAGAAAAGAAAGGGUAUUCACCAACUCAGAAAAGGCACAACAAGGGUGAGACUAAUUAGCCAACAAGGGUGAGAUCAAUUAACCACAAAUUAACAGCAACAAUUGCCACAUGGUCUGGUAAGGGGAUAGUUGAGAGGUCAAAUCUUUUUAAGUCAGCAGAGCAGGCAAGCAUACAGUUUUCCUAGUCAGAUCUUGAUAUUAGAAUUUUAUCUGUUUUUAUUAUCUCUUUUUCCCCAACCUCUCCUUGCCAAUUCUUCUACCUUGGGGUGUUUGCGGUCCCAUUUAUAAGUAAGAUAUGCCCAAAAACAAGAAGAAAAAAGCCAGAACUGAGGCCAGUGUUCCAACUGAGCCCCAACCUGAACCUAAACUUGGACAUAUACCUAACCCUGCACCUGAACUGGGACUUGAACCCACAUGUGUGCCUAAAUCUGCAUCUACAUCUACAGCUACACCUGAACCUGAACCCAGAGAUCUGCCUAAAUCUUCACCCAAAUCUGGACCUGAACCAUCCCGUGUGUCUAAGCGUCCACCUGAACCUAAGGAUCUGCCUAAAUCUCCAUCCAAAUCUGGACCUGAACCCUCACGUGUGUCUAAGCGUCCACCUGAACCUAAGGAUCUGCCUAAAUCUCCAUCCAAAUCUGGACCUGAACCCUCAUGUGUGCCUAAGCGUCCACCUGAACCUAAGGAUCUGCCUAAAUCUGCACCCGAAUCUGGACGUGAAACUAGACAAGGAAAAGAAGACAAUGAAGGACCUAGCACUUCCCCCACCGAAUUGCCACAGAGAAAUCGUGUUCCUGUCCAAAAUGCUCAUGACACAGAGGACUCCAGAUUUCCCUCACAGUCCCACAAUUAUGGGAUCCCAGAACAUCAGGACAUCCCACCAAAAGCUACAUGCAAAAUUCCUCCAGCAGCUUGUCGAGGGUUGGAUUUAAAGAACUUGGGUCAAGCUGUUGCACAAUAUGCUUCAUACUCCUCUGACUCUGUACUAGAUCCUUGUCGUUUCUCCCAAGCACCACCACAGGUCAAAACACAGAAGCCAAGAACCAAUCCAAAUUCAAAGGUUUCUGAGGCUUUGUGCAGUUACUGUUUGAAGGUUCACCCGAGGCCAGGAAAAAGUACUUCUAAGAAGGAAGAGAGCCAUCCCCCUAUAACUUCAACUGAAACUCAAGUGCCAGCCAGACCUCCAAGUCCAAAACUGUGUCUACCUGGACAAGAGGACACGAGGUCAGUGACAGCCCUUAAGAAGGCUAUAGAAAGCUGCAAAACCUAUCUGGAUUACCUUGUAGAACAGCAAACUUGGGCAAUUCAAUUGGUCUUGGUGCUCACGAAGUCAGAGAAAGGCAUUCCUGACGAUGAAGAUAUACAGAGGAUGUUGCAGGUUGACCCAGCAGAACUCAUUCUUGGCCAUAUCUUAGACAAAAAUGAUUAUGGAGCUGCAACAGCAGCAGCAACAUCGAUAGAAACAGCAACAACAGGGGCAUCAACAUCAGCAGAAACAGCUGCAACAGUGGUGGUAGCAGCAGCAACAGAAACAGCUACGACAAUGGCAGCAGCAGAAGUGACAGUAGCGACAGUGGCAGCAGAAACAGCUACAGUAAUGGCAAUAUCAUCUGCAAUAACAGAUGUAGAUGAAGCAGCAGGGGCAGAUGCAGCAGAUGAUGAAGCAGCAGGGGCAGAUGCAGCAGGGGCAGAGGCAGCAGAUGAUGAAGCAGCAGGGGCAGAUGCAGCAGGGGCAGAGGCAGCAGAUGAUGAAGCAGCAGGGGCAGAUGCAGCAGGGGCAGAGGCAGCAGAUGAUGAAGCAGCAGGGGCAGAGGCAGCAGAUGAUGAGGCAGCAGGGGCAGAGGCAGCAGAUGAUGAGGCAGCAGGGGCAGAGGCAGCAGAUGAUGAGGCAGCAGGGGCAGAGGCAGCAGAUGAUGAGGCAGCAGGGGCAGAGGCAGCAGAUGAUGAGGCAGCAGGGGCAGAGGCAGCAGAUGAUGAGGCAGCAGGGGCAGAGGCAGCAGAUGAUGGCAGCAGGGGCAGCAGGGGCAGAGGCAGCAGAUGAUGAGGCAGCAGGGGCAGAGGCAGCAGAUGAUGAGGCAGCAGGGGCAGAGGCAGCAGGGCAGGGCAGGCAGAUGAUGCAGCAGGGGCAGAGGCAGCAGAUGAUGAGGCAGCAGGGGCAGAGGCAGCAGAUGAUGAGGCAGCAGGGGCAGAGGCAGCAGAUGAUGAGGCAGCAGGGGCAGAGGCAGCAGAUGAUGAGGCAGCAGGGGCAGAGGCAGCAGAUGAUGAGGCAGCAGGGGCAGAGGCAGCAGAUGAUGAGGCAGCAGGGGCAGAGGCAGCAGAUGAUGAGGCAGCAGGGGCAGAGGCAGCAGAUGAUGAGGCAGCAGAUGAUGAAGCUGCAGCGGCAGCCGCAGCAGUGGCAGCAGAAGCAGUAGCAACAGCUAGAAUAGUGGCAGCAGAAAGAGCUGUAACAGUGGCAGCAGCACAAGCACUAAUGAAAGAAGCAGAAGCAAGAAUAAAAGCACUAGCAAGAGCAGUAGCAGCAGAUGAUGAAGUUCUCUUUAGAAGACAGACAGACCCUGAAAACCCAGAUAUUACCUGUUCUACAGUAGGGAUUAGAAUUUUUUGGCUUUCUCUGGAGUACAUGGCCCCCGAUUCCGCAGUGAAUUAUGCACUAUAUCUUACUCAAGAAUGCAACCCCUGUACCUUCCAAGAGACUGUGGAAAUAUUUAAAAAGAUGGUGAAAUCUAUCAUAAAAGAGAGAGUUUACUUAAAACUCUUUUCAAAUAUCCAAAUGGCUGACAAAGAAGAUGAGACUGGAAUGCCUCCCCAGUCCGAUCAACCAGAUGAUCACAGUUGACUAUAGUCAGAAUGAGAGAGACCAAGUGCAGCCCAGAUGCUCUCUUAUCAGGAAAUCCGGAUACCAACGGUCAAAUCCAGAAAGUGAUUACAAUCUUAAUGAAUUUUGCAGAAUAUUUGGAAGAUGACUUAUUUUUUCCAGGCCAGUAGACAUUUUAGAGUAGGUAGGACCUGGCAGUUGAGAGCAGUCCCAAGUAUCCAGAAGUAUCUAUAAGAAGCCUGACUCCUACUAGGGUAGUGAUUGUAGCAGAUCCAACAUUAAUACUAGUUUAGUUAAGGAGGGUGUGCAGGUUCCAGUACCUGUUGAAGGGGAUGAGACCUAAUCUUUAGCAUAUGGAGCAAUUACAUUCAAGUUACUCUUGGACAAGGGGAGGGAGUGGACUUUAGUAUACAGUCUCAGCCAUGAUUAAUUAAAGCUGUGCUGUAUGUAGCUUGUUUUUAACAAUUAUAUGAAUGUCAAAGGUGAACUUUAAUAAAGAUCCAAGUCUUUGUUUUUAAUUUUUU